UACGGGGGGGGCAAGCGUUGUUCGGAAUUACUGGGCGUAAAGGGCGCGUAGGCGGCCAACUAAGUCAGACGUGAAAUCCCCAGGCUCAACCUGGGAACUGCGUCUGAUACUGGAUGGCUUGAAUUCGGGAGAGGGAUGCAGAAUUCCAGGUGUAGCGGUGAAAUGCGUAGAUAUCUGGAGGAAUACCGGUGGCGAAGGCGGCAUCCUGGACCGACAUUGACGCUGAUGAGCGAAAGCUAGGGGAGCAAACGGG
Molecule: ribosomal RNA, 253 nt
Filed under: uncultured bacterium
Lineage: Bacteria
Description: partial 16S ribosomal RNA
Rfam family: Bacterial small subunit ribosomal RNA
Source: RNAcentral